GGAGUCUGCAACCCGACUCCACGAAGCUGGAUUCGCUAGUAAUCGCGCAUCAGCCACGGCGCGGUGAAUACGUUCCCGGGCCUUGUACACACCGCCCGUCAAGCCAUGGGAGCCGGGGGUACCUGAAGUGCGCUGCCGCAAGGAGCGCCCUAGGGUAAAACCGGUGACUGGGGCUAAGUCGUAACAAGGUACC
Molecule: ribosomal RNA, 193 nt
Filed under: uncultured bacterium
Lineage: Bacteria
Description: partial 16S ribosomal RNA
Rfam family: Bacterial small subunit ribosomal RNA
Source: RNAcentral